Molecule: transfer RNA, 67 nt
Filed under: Martes flavigula (yellow-throated marten)
Lineage: Eukaryota; Metazoa; Chordata; Mammalia; Carnivora; Mustelidae
Description: tRNA-Trp
Source: RNAcentral
AGGGGUUUAGGUUAAAGAGACCAAGGGCCUUCAAAGCCCCAAGUAAGUGUCAUUCACUUAACUCCUG